UACAGAGGUCCCAAGCGUUGUUCGGAUUCACUGGGCGUAAAGGGUGCGUAGGUGGCCGGGUAAGUCUGACGUGAAAUCUCCGAGCCUAACUCGGAAACUGCGUCGGAUACUAUCCGGCUUGAGGGUUGGAGGGGGGUGGAAUUCCACGUGUAGCAGUGAAAUGCGUAGAGAUGUGGAGGAACACCGAUGGCGAAGGCAGCCCCCUGGGCUAACACUGACGCUCAUGCACGAAAGCGUGGGGAGCAAACAGG
RNAcentral lists this ribosomal RNA (251 nucleotides) under uncultured bacterium. RNAcentral's name for it is "partial 16S ribosomal RNA". It matches the Rfam family "Bacterial small subunit ribosomal RNA", at positions 524 to 776 of the family's 1533-position model. The record is from RNAcentral.